GAUCAUGGCUCAGAACGAACGCUGGCGGCGCGCCUAAUACAUGCAAGUCGAACGAGAAUGUGUAGCAAUACACAUGUACAGUGGCGAACGGGUGAGGACUACAUGGGUAACCUACCCUCGAGUGGGGAAUAACUAGCCGAAAGGUUAGCUAAUACCGCGUACGCUUCCAAGACUGCGGUUUUGGAAGGAAAGCGAUACCGUGGGCAUCGCGCUCUUGGAUGGGCUCAUGCCCUAUCAG
Molecule: ribosomal RNA, 238 nt
Filed under: uncultured bacterium
Lineage: Bacteria
Description: partial 16S ribosomal RNA
Rfam family: Bacterial small subunit ribosomal RNA
Source: RNAcentral